UGGGGAAUAUUGCACAAUGGGGGAAACCCUGAUGCAGCGACGCCGCGUGAACGAAGAAGGUAUUCGUAUCGUAAAGUUCUGUCCUAUGGGAAGAUAAUGACAGUACCAUAGAAGAAAGCUCCGGCUAAAUACGUGCCAGCAGCCGCGGUAAUACGUAUGGAGCGAGCGUUGUCCGGAAUUAUUGGGCGUAAAGGGUACGCAGGCGGUUUAAUAAGUCGAAUGUUAAAGAUCGGGGCUCAACCCCGCAAAGCAUUGGAAACUGAUAAACUUGAGUAGUGGAGAGGAAAGUGGAAUUCCUAGUGUAGUGGUGAAAUACGUAGAUAUUAGGAGGAAUACCAGUAGCGAAGGCGACUUUCUGGACACAAACUGACGCUGAGGUACGAAAGCGUGGGGAGCAAACAGA
Molecule: ribosomal RNA, 403 nt
Filed under: bacterium
Lineage: Bacteria
Description: partial 16S ribosomal RNA
Rfam family: Bacterial small subunit ribosomal RNA
Source: RNAcentral